UGGAACCCAGUGGAGUCCUGAAGUUACCAGCAGAGGAGGAUGCAUUGUGACAGACUUUAAAUGUGAAGGAAGAGUCGCCCUCGUCACCCAUCACGUCUGAGAUGAAACGCCCUGAAAGCAGCCAGUCACCCCGUUGGACACAGCUCAGCUGUUAGAAGAAGUGUUUGACAGUAGUGGCAGACAGCAUAUGAAGCUGAUUUGAUGUGUUCAUGGGGACAGCUGUGUUUGGUCACACCUGUAGCUGACUGCCAGCUCCGGUACUGUUGUUAUAGAAACCUCAUCAGCUCAUAAAAGACUGAAGACCGGUGAGAAACUGCAGAGUUGCUCUUUGGCUGACCUGCUGCUGCAGGAUUGACUAAUAGAUCCAGCGAGCUGGUUACGGCUUCACUCUGUCUUGACUCCUCUCCCUCCAGGCUCCCAAAUGAUGGGAUGACCUUUCCACCUCGGUCAGGACUGCAGCGUCUCUCACAGCACGAAGUGCAAACUCUUUGCUUAGCACUUUCACAUCUCUGCCGCUCCACCUUUGUUUGCAUCUGAUUUGAAACAUGAUGAUUAGCAUCUAAAUUACCAUGUGUGAGACUUUUUAGUUGUGAAAGUUAAUCGCGUGGAACCAGGUGGGAGGUGAAAUGUUUUAAAUACCUAAGGGCUGUCAACUCUGGAACACAUCAAAUGAAUAUAAGAUAAAGGUUAAGUGCUGGCUUUAGGUGUCUUAGGUUU
Solea solea (common sole) is the source of this 717-nucleotide long non-coding RNA. RefSeq lists it as uncharacterized. The record is from RefSeq and is a predicted model, not a curated record. The transcript is spliced from 4 exons. Lineage: Eukaryota; Metazoa; Chordata; Actinopteri; Pleuronectiformes; Soleidae.